UGGGCAAGAUACAGAUUCGUGAUAGCUAUUUCUUUCUGUUUGAAGAGCUCCUUUGAAAUCACCUCUCCCCAUCUUGGGUUCUCAGGUCAUCUCAAGGCGUCGGUCAGCGCGGCAGAGUCGGGAACCUGCCAUCCUAGAGCAAUACGCCCCGAGUGACAGCCCUGACAACCGGAGUGAUGGAUCGGGACUGGAAAAGUGGUGCUGGGAGCCAGGCAGUGACACCAGCGCGCCUCCACUGGCCGCCGAGCGCACGGAGAAGUGGGCUCCCCAGAGUUCGGCACCCAAAGGACCAACUUCGCCUCCGGAAAAGCGGCGGAUCCGGAACUUGGAUGUCAGGACUAUGACUACGUAAAAUCUCUGCCCAGGGCGAAGCUAGCAAUGCACACUGUAUCAGAAAGGCGCAGGGAGUCGGGAAGGGUAUUGUUAUUUUUAAUUAAAAGUUUUUAUCCCGAAAUUUGCCUGGGGAAAGCAAGUGCUUUUUCCCCCGGAGUGAGAAGGAUGGGGGGGCGGAGGGGUUGUGUUGCCGAGCAGCGCUUAGAGAGAGAUCCCCCUCCAGGGACACCCGCCUCGCCCGUGAUCUCGGUCUCUCCUCGUAGCAGCUGGGCGCGGUACAGUGAGGAACUUCACGCCCCUCAGCAGGACACGGUAAGAAGCCUGUAACACACCAGACACCGAGCCUCUAACGCAGGGCGCAGGCACAGCGCGCACAGCCUGGGGUCCCGCGCUUGGUCGCCGACCAUGUCACUCCAGAAGGGAGACAAACUUGCAGGCUUCAGACAAGACGGGCUCAAAGUAGUUGGAGCUGCCUACGCCGCGUCCCGAGAACAGUGGGUGCCUCCGAGGCUCGGGCGCUUCCAAGUGAACACACCAAGGGGAGGCCAAGUAGGGGAAGGAGAGCGGGGCCGAGGAGAGCCGG
Molecule: long non-coding RNA, 916 nt
Filed under: Homo sapiens (human)
Lineage: Eukaryota; Metazoa; Chordata; Mammalia; Primates; Hominidae
Description: HSALNT0135528
Source: RNAcentral